RNAcentral lists this ribosomal RNA (460 nucleotides) under uncultured bacterium. RNAcentral describes it as "partial 16S ribosomal RNA". It matches the Rfam family "Bacterial small subunit ribosomal RNA", at positions 338 to 795 of the family's 1533-position model. The record is from RNAcentral.
CCUACGUGGGACAGCAGUGAGGAAUAUUGGUCAAUGGACGGAAGUCUGAACCAGCCAUGCCGCGUGCAGGAAGACGGCUCUAUGAGUUGUAAACUGCUUUUGUACAAGGGUAAACCUGAAUACGUGUAUUCAGCUGAAAGUACUGUACGAAUAAGGAUCGGCUAACUCCGUGUCAGCAGCCGCGGUAAUACGGAGGAUCCAAGCGUUAUCCGGAUUUAUUGGGUUUAAAGGGUGCGUAGGCGGAUUGAUAAGUUAGAGGUGAAAUGUCCGAGCUUAACUCGGGAACUGCCUCUAAUACUGUUGAUCUAGAGAGUAGAUGCGGUAGGCGGAAUGUAUGGUGUAGCGGUGAAAUGCUUAGAGAUCAUACAGAACACCGAUUGCGAAGGCAGCUUACCAAUCUAUAUCUGACGUUGAGGCACGAAAGCGUGGGGAGCAAACAGGAUUAGAUACCCGUGUAGUC